Molecule: ribosomal RNA, 399 nt
Filed under: Pseudoberwaldia daphniae
Lineage: Eukaryota; Fungi; Microsporidia
Description: SSU rRNA
Rfam family: Microsporidia small subunit ribosomal RNA
Source: RNAcentral
GUGCCAGCAGCCGCGGUAAUUCCAGCUCCAGGAGCGUCUGUGUGUGUUGCUGCGGUUAAAGAGUGCGUAGUCUGAUUAAUUGCCAGCAAUAAAGGUGCGGUCUUUAGCUGUGCAUUAUGCUGGUACUUUGAUCUAGGGACUGGAACAGGGCAAUGGUAUUCGACAGCGAGGGGUGAAAACUGAUGACCUGUCGAGGAGCGACUGAGGCGAAAGCGGUUGUCUGGGACGGGUUCGACGAUCAAGCGCGUGAGCAGGAGGAUCGAAGGCGAUUAGAGACCGUCGUAGUUCCUGCAGUAAACGAUGCCAACGGGAAUGCAAGGAAUGUGUUCCGAGGGAAACCGAGUGUAUGGGCUCCGGGGAUAGUACAGGCGCAAGCCAGAAACUUGAAGAAAUUGACGG